Molecule: ribosomal RNA, 154 nt
Filed under: uncultured bacterium
Lineage: Bacteria
Description: partial 16S ribosomal RNA
Rfam family: Bacterial small subunit ribosomal RNA
Source: RNAcentral
UGAGGAAUAUUGGUCAAUGGCCGGAAGGCUGAACCAGCCAUGCCGCGUGAAGGUCAGUGCCCUAUGGGCGUUAAACUUCUUUUGUGCGGGAGCAAUAAUGGUCACGUGUGGCCAGACGAGAGUACCGUACGAAUAAGCAUCGGCUAACUCCGUG